This 253-nucleotide ribosomal RNA is filed under the name uncultured bacterium. RNAcentral describes it as "partial 16S ribosomal RNA". It matches the Rfam family "Bacterial small subunit ribosomal RNA", at positions 524 to 776 of the family's 1533-position model. The record is from RNAcentral.
UACAGAGGGUGCGAGCGUUGUCCGGAAUCACUGGGCGUAAAGGGCGCGUAGGCGGCUCGGUAAGGUUGCGGUGAAAGCCCGGGGCUCAACCCCGGGUCGGCCGUGGCAACUGCUGGGCUCGAGCACUGUAGAGGCAGGUGGAAUUCCGGGUGUAGUGGUGGAAUACGUAGAUAUCCGGAGGAACACCAGCGGCGAAGGCGGCUUUCUGGUCUGAUACUGACGCUGAGGCGCGAAAGCGUGGGGAGCGAUCCGG